GCAGGAGUAGCGAAGUGGUCAAACGCACGGGACUCAAGAUCCCGUCCCUUAGUGGGUUCAGAGGUUCGAAUCCUCUCUCCUGCA
RNAcentral lists this transfer RNA (84 nucleotides) under Nanobdellota archaeon. RNAcentral's name for it is "tRNA-Leu". It matches the Rfam family "tRNA". From Rfam's summary of the family: Transfer RNA (tRNA) molecules are approximately 80 nucleotides in length. The record is from RNAcentral. Lineage: Archaea; Nanobdellati; Nanobdellota.